UUUCCGUAGGUGAACCUGCGGAAGGAUCAUUCAUAAUAAGUGUUUUAUGGCACUUUUUAAAAAUCCAUAUCCACCUUGUGUGCAAUGUUAGAUCUCGUCAAUCUUGGCGAGAUUUUUAUACAUCAACCCAUUCUUUAACUAAUUUGUCUGAAAAAUAUUAUGAAUACUUAAUUCAAAAUACAACUUUCAACAACGGAUCUCUUGGCUCUC
Molecule: unclassified non-coding RNA, 210 nt
Filed under: plant metagenome
Description: partial contains small subunit ribosomal RNA, internal transcribed spacer 1, and 5.8S ribosomal RNA
Source: RNAcentral